GACGAACGCUGGCGGCGUGCUUAACACAUGCAAGUCGAACGGAAAGGCCCUGCUUUUGUGGGGUGCUCGAGUGGCGAACGGGUGAGUAACACGUGAGUAACCUGCCCUUGACUUUGGGAUAACUUCAGGAAACUGGGUCUAAUACCGGAUAGGAGCUCCUGCUGCAUGGUGGGGGUUGGAAAGUUUCGGCGGUUGGGGAUGGACUCGCGGCUUAUCAGCUUGUUGGUGGGGUAGUGGCUUACCAAGGCUUUGACGGGUAGCCGGCCUGAGAGGGUGACCGGCCACAUUGGGACUGAGAUACGGCCCAGACUCCUACGGGAGGCAGCAGUGGGGAAUAUUGCACAAUGGGCGGAAGCCUGAUGCAGCAACGCCGCGUGCGGGAUGACGGCCUUCGGGUUGUAAACCGCUUUCGCCUGUGACGAAGCGUGAGUGACGGUAAUGGGUAAAGAAGCACCGGCUAACUACGUGCCAGCAGCCGCGGUGAUACGUAGGGUGCGAGCGUUGUCCGGAUUUAUUGGGCGUAAAGGGCUCGUAGGUGGUUGAUCGCGUCGGAAGUGUAAUCUUGGGGCUUAACCCUGAGCGUGCUUUCGAUACGGGUUGACUUGAGGAAGGUAGGGGAGAAUGGAAUUCCUGGUGGAGCGGUGGAAUGCGCAGAUAUCAGGAGGAACACCAGUGGCGAAGGCGGUUCUCUGGGCCUUUCCUGACGCUGAGGAGCGAAAGCGUGGGGAGCGAACAGGCUUAGAUACCCUGGUAGUCCACGCUGUAAACGGUGGGUACUAGGUGUGGGGUCCAUUCCACGGGUUCCGUGCCGUAGCUAACGCUUUAAGUACCCCGCCUGGGGAGUACGGCCGCAAGGCUAAAACUCAAAGGAAUUGACGGGGCCCCGCACAAGCGGCGGAGCAUGCGGAUUAAUUCGAUGCAACGCGUAGAACCUUACCUGGGUUUGACAUGGAUCGGGAGCGCUCAGAGAUGGGUGUGCCUCUUUUGGGGUCGGUUCACAGGUGGUGCAUGGCUGUCGUCAGCUCGUGUCGUGAGAUGUUGGGUUAAGUCCCGCAACGAGCGCAACCCUUGUUCACUGUUGCCAGCACGUUAUGGUGGGGACUCAGUGGAGACCGCCGGGGUCAACUCGGAGGAAGGUGGGGAUGACGUCAAGUCAUCAUGCCCCUUAUGUCCAGGGCUUCACGCAUGCUACAAUGGCUGGUACAGAGAGUGGCGAGCCUGUGAGGGUGAGCGGAUCUCGGAAAGCCGGUCUCAGUUCGGAUUGGGGUCUGCAACUCGACCUCAUGAAGUCGGAGUCGCUAGUAAUCGCAGAUCAGCAACGCUGCGGUGAAUACGUUCCCGGGGCU
This 1346-nucleotide ribosomal RNA is filed under the name uncultured bacterium. Its description in RNAcentral is "bacterial SSU rRNA". It matches the Rfam family "Bacterial small subunit ribosomal RNA", at positions 28 to 1381 of the family's 1533-position model. The record is from RNAcentral.